GACGAACGCUGGCGGCGUGCUUAACACAUGCAAGUCGAACGGAAAGGCCCUGCUUUUGUGGGGUGCUCGAGUGGCGAACGGGUGAGUAGCACGUGAGUAACCUGCCCUUGACUUUGGGAUAACUUCAGGAAACUGGGGCUAAUACCGGAUAGGAGCUCCUGCUGCAUGGUGGGGGUUGGAAAGUUUCGGCGGUUGGGGAUGGACUCGCGGCUUAUCAGCUUGUUGGUGGGGUAGUGGCUUACCAAGGCUUUGACGGGUAGCCGGCCUGAGAGGGUGACCGGCCACAUUGGGACUGAGAUACGGCCCAGACUCCUACGGGAGGCAGCAGUGGGGAAUAUUGCACAAUGGGCGGAAGCCUGAUGCAGCAACGCCGCGUGCGGGAUGACGGCCUUCGGGUUGUAAACCGCUUUCGCCUGUGACGAAGCGUGAGUGACGGUAAUGGGUAAAGGAGCACCGGCUAACUACGUG
This 468-nucleotide ribosomal RNA is filed under the name uncultured bacterium. Its description in RNAcentral is "partial 16S ribosomal RNA". It matches the Rfam family "Bacterial small subunit ribosomal RNA", at positions 28 to 507 of the family's 1533-position model. The record is from RNAcentral.